UACAUCGGAACGUGCCCAAUCGUGGGGGAUAACGCAGCGAAAGCUGUGCUAAUACCGCAUACGAUCUACGGAUGAAAGCAGGGGAUCGCAAGGCCUUGCGCGAAUGGAGCGGCCGAUGGCAGAUUAGGUAGUUGGUGAGGUAAAGGCUCACCAAGCCUUCGAUCUGUAGCUGGUCUGAGAGGACGACCAGCCACACUGGGACUGAGACACGGCCCAGACUCCUACGGGAGGCAGCAGCC
RNAcentral lists this ribosomal RNA (239 nucleotides) under uncultured Variovorax sp. RNAcentral's name for it is "partial 16S ribosomal RNA". It matches the Rfam family "Bacterial small subunit ribosomal RNA", at positions 114 to 355 of the family's 1533-position model. The record is from RNAcentral. Lineage: Bacteria; Pseudomonadati; Pseudomonadota; Betaproteobacteria; Burkholderiales; Comamonadaceae.